This 305-nucleotide ribosomal RNA is filed under the name uncultured bacterium. RNAcentral's name for it is "bacterial SSU rRNA". It matches the Rfam family "Bacterial small subunit ribosomal RNA", at positions 333 to 655 of the family's 1533-position model. The record is from RNAcentral.
UUUGGCCUACGGGACGCAGCAGUCGGGAAUAUUGCGCAAUGGAGGAAACUCUGACGCAGUGACGCCGCGUAUAGGAAGAAGGUUUUCGGAUUGUAAACUAUUGUCGUGAGGGAAGAAAUUCACAGUACCUCAGGAGGAAGCUCCGGCUAACUAUGUGCCAGCAGCCGCGGUAAUACAUAGGGAGCAAGCGUUAUCCGGAUUUAUUGGGUGUAAAGGGUGCGUAGACGGGAAAUUAAGUUAGUUGUGAAAUCCCUCGGCUUAACUGAGGAACUGCAACUAAAACUGAUUUUCUUGAUUACUGGAGG